GAGAUUGUGGCUCAGCAGUACAGCGCUCGUCUGGCACAUGCGAGGCCCUGGGUUCAAUCCUCAGCAUCACA
RNAcentral lists this transfer RNA (71 nucleotides) under Marmota monax (woodchuck). RNAcentral's name for it is "tRNA.Ala". Lineage: Eukaryota; Metazoa; Chordata; Mammalia; Rodentia; Sciuridae. The record is from RNAcentral.